GGGCCAGACUCCUACGGGAGGCAGCAGUGGGGAAUAUUGCACAAUGGGCGCAAGCCUGAUGCAGCCAUGCCGCGUGUAUGAAGAAGGCCUUCGGGUUGUAAAGUACUUUCAGCGGGGAGGAAGGUGUUGAGGUUAAUAACCUCAGCAAUUGACGUUACCCGCAGAAGAAGCACCGGCUAACUCCGUGCCAGCAGCCGCGGUAAUACGGAGGGUGCAAGCGUUAAUCGGAAUUACUGGGCGUAAAGCGCACGCAGGCGGUCUGUCAAGUCGGAUGUGAAAUCCCCGGGCUCAACCUGGGAACUGCAUUCGAAACUGGCAGGCUGGAGUCUUGUAGAGGGGGGUAGAAUUCCAGGUGUAGCGGUGAAAUGCGUAGAGAUCUGGAGGAAUACCGGUGGCGAAGGCGACCCCCUGGACAAAGACUGACGCUCAGGUGCGAAAGCGUGGGGAGCAAACAGGAUUAGAUACCCCUGUAC
RNAcentral lists this ribosomal RNA (473 nucleotides) under uncultured bacterium. RNAcentral's name for it is "bacterial SSU rRNA". It matches the Rfam family "Bacterial small subunit ribosomal RNA", at positions 328 to 793 of the family's 1533-position model. The record is from RNAcentral.